GACGAACGCUGGCGGCGUGCUUAACACAUGCAAGUCGAACGGAAAGGCCCCCUUGUGGGGGUCGCGAGUGGCGAACGGGUGAGUUACACGUGAGUUACCUACCCUUUACCUUGGGAUUACUUCAGGGAAAUGGGGCUAAUACCGGAUAGGAGCUCCUGCUGCAUGGUGGGGGUUGGAAAGUUUCGGCGGUUGGGGAUGGACUCGCGGCUUAUCAGCUUGUUGGUGGGGUAGUGGCUCACCAAGGCUUUGACGGGUAGCCGGCCUGAGAGGGUGACCGGCCACAUUGGGACUGAGAUACGGCCCAGACUCCUACGGGAGGCAGCAGUGGGGAAUAUUGCACAAUGGGCGGAAGCCUGAUGCAGCAACGCCGCGUGCGGGAUGACGGCCUUCGGGUUGUAAACCGCUUUCGCCUGUGACGAAGCGUGAGUGACGGUAAUGGGUAAAGAAGCACCGGCUAACUACGUG
This 465-nucleotide ribosomal RNA is filed under the name uncultured bacterium. RNAcentral's name for it is "partial 16S ribosomal RNA". It matches the Rfam family "Bacterial small subunit ribosomal RNA", at positions 28 to 507 of the family's 1533-position model. The record is from RNAcentral.